RNAcentral lists this ribosomal RNA (433 nucleotides) under uncultured bacterium. RNAcentral describes it as "partial 16S ribosomal RNA". It matches the Rfam family "Bacterial small subunit ribosomal RNA", at positions 29 to 507 of the family's 1533-position model. The record is from RNAcentral.
AACGAACGCUGGCGGCAUGCCUAACACAUGCAAGUCGAACGAGACCUUCGGGUCUAGUGGCGCACGGGUGCGUAACGCGUGGGAACCUGCCCUUAGGUUCGGAAUAACUCCCCGAAAGGGGUGCUAAUACCGGAUAAUGUCUUCGGACCAAAGAUUUAUCGCCUUUGGAUGGGCCCGCGUUGGAUUAGCUAGUUGGUAGGGUAAAAGCCUACUAAGGCGACGAUCCAUAGCUGGUCUGAGAGGAUGAUCAGCCACACUGGGACUGAGACACGGCCCAGACUCCUACGCGAAGCAGCAGUGGGGAAUAUAGGACCGUGGGGGAAGGCAUGAACCAGCAAGGACGGGUGAGUGAUGAAGGCCUUAGGGUAGUAAAGCUCUUUUAACCGGGAUGAUAAUGACAGUACCGGGAGAAUAAGCUCCGGCUAACUACGUG